RNAcentral lists this unclassified non-coding RNA (219 nucleotides) under uncultured Thelephoraceae. RNAcentral describes it as "sequence contains ITS2". Lineage: Eukaryota; Fungi; Basidiomycota; Agaricomycetes; Thelephorales; Thelephoraceae. The record is from RNAcentral.
ACACCUCAACUCCCAUGGUUCGCCAUGAUGAGCUUGGACUUUGGGGGUCUUGCUGGCCUAACCGUCAGCUCCUCUCAAAUGAAUCAGCUUGCCAGUGUUUGGUGGCGUCACAGGUGUGAUAACUAUCUACGCUUGUGGUGUUCCAUCAGGUUACCUUCAGCAAUGAAGGUUCGCUGGAGCUUACAGACGUCUCUCCUCAGGGAGGACAGCUUUUUGAAC